CCUACGGGACGCACCAGUGGGGAAUAUUGCACAAUGGGCGCAAGCCUGAUGCAGCCAUGCCGCGUGUAUGAAGAAGGCCUUCGGGUUGUAGAAUACUUUCAGCGGGAGGAAGGUGUUGUGGUUAAUAACCACAGCAAUUGACGUUACCCGCAGAAGAAGCACCGGCUAACUCCGAGCCAGCAGCCGCGGUAAUACGGAGGGUGCAAGCGUUAAUCGGAAUUACUGGGCGUAAAGCGCACGCAGGCGGUCUGUCAAGUCGGAUGUGAAAUCCCCGGGCUCAACCCGGGAACUGCAUUCGAAACUGGCAGGCUAGAGUCUUGUAGGGGGGGGUAGAAUUCCAGGUGUAGCGGUGAAAUGCGUAGAGAUCUGGAGGAAUACCGGUGGCGAAGGCGGCCCCCUGGACAAAGACUGACGCUCAGGUGCGAAAGCGUGGGGAGCAAACAGGAUUAGAUACCCUUGUAGUC
RNAcentral lists this ribosomal RNA (464 nucleotides) under uncultured bacterium. Its description in RNAcentral is "bacterial SSU rRNA". It matches the Rfam family "Bacterial small subunit ribosomal RNA", at positions 338 to 795 of the family's 1533-position model. The record is from RNAcentral.